UAAAUUGCUCGAUUUCACAAA
This is a non-coding RNA of Caenorhabditis elegans, 21 nucleotides long. The record is from Ensembl. NCBI's taxonomy places the organism in Eukaryota, Metazoa, Nematoda, Chromadorea, Rhabditida, Rhabditidae.